Molecule: long non-coding RNA, 3016 nt
Filed under: Panax ginseng (ginseng)
Lineage: Eukaryota; Viridiplantae; Streptophyta; Magnoliopsida; Apiales; Araliaceae
Description: long non-coding RNA (PGIN_LNC010717)
Source: RNAcentral
AAUAAUUCACACUACAAUCUAACCCAACCAAAACAUAACCCAUGUUCACUAACACCCAUCCUCUUCAUCUUCAACUACCACCACCAUUUGAUUUCUCUAUCUUCUGUAUACCACCAAUAUUAACAUCAGCGCCUACUACCACCAGCACUUCGCCAUUCCAGCACCACCAUCAUCUAACCAACACCACCUCGACAUGUCACCCACCCAAUUCCAAUGUCGCAGUAAAAUUAUGUGAUCCUUUCUCAAAUCAAGCUGUAGCGAAAAAACCCAUCUUAGAUACAGGUAAUACUUGCACUGCCAAUUUGCAUUUAGUUUUUAAAUUCAUUACUCUAAACUUUGAUUCUCUCUCGCCCCCUUGUCAAUCAUCAUCCAUAUACAUUCAAUCUGCAAUUUUCUGGUCCACAAAACCAGGAAUAUUUAUUUGCACUUUUUCGUUCCCAAAUUCCUGUUUUAAUUUUAAGUUUACCAGGAAACGUGCUGGAAUUUGAUCAGAUCGCCGAAAAAAUUCAUAAAGUUAAUUAAUAAAAAAAAAAAAUUAAUUAGUCAUCAGGAAACAAUUGGUAACAAUUGUUGGAGUUUUCGCCGUCGUGCUUAGAAAUUGAAGAGUGGAGGUGGCGCCGCGUGAUGGUGGUGGUGGUGGUGGUUGGUGUGGUGGUGGGUGUUGGGUGGCGGAUGUUAAAGCAGGAUGGAGGAUGGAAGAUGUAGAUGUUAAUUUCUUCCCCAAAAUUUUAUUUUUCCCAGAAUUCUGCUUUUAUUUUAUAAAUUUCCUUCCAUUUUUCUAAAUUUUCCUAUUUUUUAAUAACUUUUCUUCCAGUUUUCUUAAAUUUUACGACUUUAUUUUAAUUUUUCUUCCAUUUUACUUUUUUUUUUAGCUUUAAAAUAUCUUUGCAUUAUCUCGAGUAUCCUGGUAUUAUUUUACAUUUCCAAAAAAAAAAUUAAGGGUUACUUAACUUUUGAUUUUACAUAUUGGUAUUUUUUAUUUAAGUUUUAUGAAAAAAAAUUGGUCUAUCAAGUUUUUCUAUCAUCGUAUCUUAUUAAAAUAAAUUUCUACAAUUUAAAAUAUGUUUUUUUUACACAUAAUCACUAAAAUGUGAUUUACGUGGAGCUCUCUCUCUCUCUCUCAAUCAUAUGCCAACUCAAUUUUAUGUUAAAAAGUCACAGUGCUCUUAAUGGUUUUUGUAACGUUUUGUCAAAGAAAAUGAGUUUGAUGAUGCAAAAAUCAGCUCCCAGUUCAAUGCCCAAAAAAGCAUUUAACCCUAUAUUCAUUAACAAACAUGUGAUGAAUAAAUUAAUGGCUUAAAUACACUUUAAACUUUUAUGUUUUAGCAUUUCUUGCCGGAAUAAUUCAUGUGAGUCGAACUGAAAGGGUAAUGUAGUCUUUUAAGGGAAUAUAUCGUUUAUAUUAGCUAUGAUUUUUCUACCUUUCUCUUCCCUUCAUCUACUAAUCACAUGUCUAUAAUUUUAUGUGCUUCCAACUAUAUCUAAGAGUGAAAUUAUCCAAAAUCCUCACUCUGAUCAAUUAUCACACGGUGAUGGCUAGAAGGUUUUAUUUAAUGAAAUAUUGGGGUUUAAAUUCUAAAAUGCUUAAAACUUCAAAGCGUAUAUGAGAAUUAAGAAUAAAUUUAAUGAACACAGGAUAGCAUCAGUUGAAAACUUUAAAUGGCUGUAAGACUACUAAUAGACACAUAAUUUAUACAUUUUAUUAUCCCUAAUUUUGUCAUUUUAAUUAUAUUAAUUUAUUAAAUUAAUACGUUCUAUUUUAUUUUGUAGGAUUUAAUAUUUUAUUGCAAUAGAGUCAAAAUCUUGGUAGUCAAGUGAUAUUUAAUGCUCUUUUUCAUGUAAGAAAAUAUCCAAGAAUAAUCCUACAACGAGAAAGAAAUAGGUGGAACAAUCUUGGCGUGCAAGUAAAAUCCAGCAAGAGAAAAGAAAGUCUAUCUAGAAGAUCUCUUUGAGAAGUUAACUUUCACUAGGAAGUUGAAACCUACAUGAAAAUUGACUCUUAGGAGAUUACCAUGUAGAGAUUGAAGCCAAUAAGGAACGAAGAGGAUAAAAGGGAACAAAAGAGACCAAGUUCAAAUAAUCUAAAUUAGGGCACAAAUUUAUUUUCCCUAUAAAUAGGUCUCUUGUUUUAAAUUAAAGGGAGUAUUGUAUUGUAUUGGAUGGUAUUAAUUUAUGUUAGGAGUAGGAGUAGAUUAAAUUACUUCUUCAUUGUACGUUUGUUGGAGAAUCAUGAAUAAAGAAAGUUUUCUUAUUUAUUUUUACUCUUUUACUUUUUCUUUAUUUUAGUUAAUUUAUUUAUUUUCAUGUCUAGUUAAUUUCUUAGAUGAAAUUAAUUAAUUAUUCAUGAUAAUAUUAUUCAUCUCUUCUAUUAUUUAUGUUUUUAUGUUUAAUUGAUUUCGCAUUCAUGUUUCGUUAUUAAAAUACCUCUGUUUUAUAGUUCUUAUGUGAUUUUAAAUUAAUUAAGAUGUUUUGAUAGAUUAUUGUUAAGAUAUUAGUUUUUCAUAAUACAUGCUUGCUCAAAGAAGUUUUGAUGAGUUAUAGUUAAUCCUUAAAUUUUCGUAGUUUGUGUUUGCCCACGUUAAUUGUAAAUUUACUAAAUUAAAGGGAAGGGAGAUCAAAGUUAUAAAAAUAGAAGAGAUUGAAUUACUUAUUAUGUGUUUAAUGGAUUCGGAUUCCUAGAUUGCUUACUCAAUAUUAGUUUUCAUAUUCUAGUUAAUCAAUUUUCAAAUUUUAUUUCUAAUUCGCCUAAAAUAGAUAUUAAGGAUACAUUAAAAUUAAUCUAGUCUCUGUAGAUUCGAAAUGUACUUACCAGUUCUUCAAUUUGACACUAUGCUCUUGCAGGAACAUAUUUUUAUGACAUCAACUACCCUUUUUUCUUUAAUAAGUAAUACUGAAAAACCAUCAAUAAACAGAUGUGUAUGAAAAGUUAGACGUACUUGGAAUGCUCAAGAAUAGCAUAUGAAAAGUAAGAUAUACUGAGAAUGCUAAAGAAUAGCUGGAAAACACUAAAAAGGAC